This 330-nucleotide ribosomal RNA is filed under the name uncultured bacterium. RNAcentral's name for it is "bacterial SSU rRNA". It matches the Rfam family "Bacterial small subunit ribosomal RNA", at positions 28 to 352 of the family's 1533-position model. The record is from RNAcentral.
GAUUAACGCUAGCGGCAGGCAUAAUACAUGCAAGUUGAACGGGAUCAGUUGUAGCAAUACGACUGUGAGAGUAGCGCACGGGUGCGUAACACGUAUGCAAUCUGCCCCUAUCUGAGGAAUAGCCCCUCGAAAGAGGGAUUAAUAUCUCAUAAAAUAGUGAGUAGGCAUCUACUUACUAUCAAAGCUCAGGCGGAUAGGGAUGAGCAUGCGGCUGAUUAGCUAGUUGGUGAGGUAAUGGCUCACCAAGGCUACGAUCAGUAGGGGGUCUGAGAGGAUGUCCCCCCACCACUGGUACGUGAGACACGGACCAGACUCCUACGGGAGGGCAGC